RNAcentral lists this long non-coding RNA (210 nucleotides) under Elaeis guineensis (African oil palm). RNAcentral's name for it is "long non-coding RNA (EGUI_LNC033833)". Lineage: Eukaryota; Viridiplantae; Streptophyta; Magnoliopsida; Arecales; Arecaceae. The record is from RNAcentral.
GAUGGGUUUUCUCUUAUGAUGUGUAGAAAUGUCAAUUGUGAUGUUUUCCAUGAAGAUGAACAAUGAAUGAAAAAUUAUAUGUGUUACAUAUUUUAGAUUUAAAUCAGAUUAUGCAUGUAUUUUAUAUAUUUUAGAUUGUUAAAUAUUAUAUGUGAUAUAUUGUUUUGACACACGAUCUAAAACUUAAUUUUUACAAAAUUCUAGAUCCAA